UAAGUAACCUGCCCCCCACUUUGGGAUAACCCCGGGAAACCGGGGCUAAUACCGAAUACGACCAUCCAGGGCAUCUUGGUUGGUGGAAAGCUCCGGCGGUGGAGGAUGGACUCGCGGCCUAUCAGCUUGUUGGUGAGGUAACGGCCCACCAAGGCGACGACGGGUAGCCGGCCUCAGAGGGUGACCGGCCACACUGGGACUGAGACACGGCCCAGACUCCUACGGGAGGCAG
This 232-nucleotide ribosomal RNA is filed under the name uncultured bacterium. Its description in RNAcentral is "partial 16S ribosomal RNA". It matches the Rfam family "Bacterial small subunit ribosomal RNA", at positions 118 to 351 of the family's 1533-position model. The record is from RNAcentral.